CAGCAGCCACGGUAACACGAAGGGUGCAAGCGUUACUCGGAAUUACUGGGCGUAAAGCGUGCGUAGGUGGUGGUUUAAGUCAGAUGUGAAAUCCCCGGGCUCAACCUGGGAACUGCAUUUGAGACUGUAUGGCUAGAGUGUGUCAGAGGGGGGUAGAAUUCCACGUGUAGCAGUGAAAUGCGUAGAUAUGUGGAGGAAUACCGAUGGCGAAGGCAGCCCCCUGGGAUAACACUGACGCUCAUGCACGAAAGCGUGGGGAGCAAACAGGAUUAGAUACCCCAGUAGUCCCUGUCUCUUAUAC
RNAcentral lists this ribosomal RNA (301 nucleotides) under uncultured bacterium. Its description in RNAcentral is "partial 16S ribosomal RNA". It matches the Rfam family "Bacterial small subunit ribosomal RNA", at positions 509 to 807 of the family's 1533-position model. The record is from RNAcentral.